Molecule: long non-coding RNA, 215 nt
Organism: Pseudomyrmex gracilis
Lineage: Eukaryota; Metazoa; Arthropoda; Insecta; Hymenoptera; Formicidae
Exons: 3
Source: RefSeq, a predicted model, not a curated record
UUGUAACGUGUUCAAUAGGUGGUACUACUGGUGUAGGUAAAUUUAAAUCUACACAACCAUAGUACAAAAUAAUCUAAAAGGAAGAAACAUGAUUACGCGCUAAAACCAAUGACACUUGGCCAAGUGCACUUCAAUAUCAAGCUACUUUUGAGACUCUGAUAAAACAUUAAUGCAACACACAGCGGUAUCAAAUAUCAGAAAGAUACUUUAUCAGU